Non-coding RNA from Gossypium hirsutum (cotton), 145 nucleotides. NCBI's taxonomy places the organism in Eukaryota, Viridiplantae, Streptophyta, Magnoliopsida, Malvales, Malvaceae. The record is from Rfam.
UAUUAAAAAUUUUAUCAAUUUCUACAGUUAAAAACUAGUGUGAGUGACAAAAUAAUUAAACAGUUACACUUGUUGAAUCAUGUGUACCUUAUUUAGAUGUACAAAGACCAGCUUUUAACAGUAGAAAUGGAUGAAGAUUUUGACA